Molecule: transfer RNA, 68 nt
Filed under: Tropidophorus hangnam
Lineage: Eukaryota; Metazoa; Chordata; Lepidosauria; Squamata; Scincidae
Description: tRNA-Thr
Rfam family: tRNA
About the family: Transfer RNA (tRNA) molecules are approximately 80 nucleotides in length. Their secondary structure includes four short double-helical elements and three loops (D, anti-codon, and T loops).
Source: RNAcentral
GCCUUAGUAGCUUAAACAAAGCAUUGGUCUUGUAAGCCAAAGCCGGGACUUUAAAACCCCCUAAGACA